This 280-nucleotide non-coding RNA is filed under the name Symbiodinium sp. CCMP2430. The record is from RNAcentral. Lineage: Eukaryota; Dinophyceae; Suessiales; Symbiodiniaceae.
AAGUGGAAUGUAAGCGAGAAUUAACUGAGCAAAAGGAACACAACAGAAACAACACAAAGGAACGAAUGACUCACGAUGGCCCUUUCAUUUUGCUCUUUCUAUUCGGCUCGUUUCGUGCUUCAUUCGUGCCUCAUUCCAUUACAAACGAACCGAAUAGAAAGGGAAAUGAAAGAGGGCCGUGAGUGAGGAAUGAAGAGAAUAGUGAAUUUGUCUCUUUUGUUUCUUUUACCUUUGUGUUUUUACAAAUGAAAUGCGUGAAAAAGACAAAGGAAAAGAACAA